GUUGACGGGUUACUCGCCGGUCCGGAAGAGUGACCGGCGAGCGGUAGCGGAGGAACCCGGUGCGAAUCCGGGACGGUCCCGCCACUGUGACCGGGGAAAUCGCCCCGGGAGCCAGGAACUCCGGCCGCUCGCGACAACCGACA
RNAcentral lists this non-coding RNA (143 nucleotides) under Actinoplanes derwentensis. Lineage: Bacteria; Bacillati; Actinomycetota; Actinomycetes; Micromonosporales; Micromonosporaceae. The record is from RNAcentral.